GUACAUACCGGGUGAAACCGCGAAUGGCUCAUUAAAUCAGUUAUGGUUCAUUGGGUGUUACCCAUCCUACUUGGAUACCUGUGGUAAUUCUAGAGCUAAUACAUGCAACUAAGCUUCGACCUUACGGGAGGAGUGCUUUUAUUAGACCAAAACCAAUGCGUGCUUCGGUUCGCAGUGUUUGUGGUGACUCUGGAUAACUUACAGCUGAGCGCACAGUCACCGCACUGGCGCCGUACCUUUCAAGUGUCUGCCUUAUCAGCUUUCGAUUGUAGGCUAUGCGCCUACAAUGGCUAUAACGGGUAACGGGGAAUCAGGGUUCGAUUCCGGAGAGGGAGCCUGAGAAACGGCUACCACAUCUAAGGAAGGCAGCAGGCACGCAAAUUACCCAUUCCCAGCUCGGGGAGGUAGUGACGAAAAAUAACGAUGCGGGACUCUUCCGAGGCUUCGCAAUCGGAAUGAGUUCACUUUAAAUCCUUGUACAAGGAUCAAUUGGAGGGCAAGUCUGGUGCCAGCAGCCGCGGUAAUUCCAGCUCCAAUAGCGUAUAUUAAAGUUGUUGCGGUUAAAAAGCUCGUAGUUGAAUUUAAGUUUACUUUGAAAAAAUUAGAGUGCUCAAAGCAGGCUAUCGCCUGAAUAGUUGUGCAUGGAAUGAUGGAAUAGGACCUCGGUACUAUUUUGUUGGUUUUAAGUACCCGAGGUAAUGAUUAAUAGAGACGGACGGGGGCAUUCGUAUUGCGACGCUAGAGGUGAAAUUCUUGGACCGUCGCAAGACGCACUACUGCGAAAGCAUUUGCCCAGAACGUUCUCAUUAAUCAAGAACGAAAGUUAGAGGUUCGAAGGCGAUCAGAUACCGCCCUAGUUCUAACCCUAAACGAUGCCAACUAGCAAUCCGAUUGUGUUAAUCCCAUGACUGAUCGGGCAGCUUCCGGGAAACCAAAGUCUUUGAGUUCCGGGGGAAGUAUGGUUGCAAAGCUGAAACUUAAAGGAAUUGACGGAAGGGCACCACCAGGAGUGGAGCCUGCGGCUUAAUUUGACUCAACACGGGAAACCUCACCAGGCCCGGACACUGGAAGGAUUGACAGAUUGAUAGCUCUUUCUUGAUUCGGUGGGUGGUGGUGCAUGGCCGUUCUUAGUUGGUGGAGCGAUUUGUCUGGUUAAUUCCGAUAACGAACGAGACUCUAGCCUGCUAAAUAGAGCUUCUUAGAGGGAUAAGCGGCAUUUAGCCGCACGAGAUUGAGCAAUAACAGGUCUGUGAUGCCCUUAGAUGUUCUGGGCCGCACGCGCGCUACACUGAAGGGAUCAGCGUGUCCGCCCUCUCCGAGAGGAGUGGGUAACCCGUUGAAACCCCUUCGUGAUAGGGAUUGGGGCUUGAAAUUCUUCCCCAUCAACGAGGAAUUCCCAGUAAGCGCAAGUCAUUAGCUUGCGUUGAUUACGUCCCUGCCCUUUGUACACACCGCCCGUCGCUACUACCGAUUGAAUGAUUUAGUGAGGGCUUCGGACUGGCGCCCAUUGCUGUCUCACCGACAGCUUCGGGCUCGCCGGAAAGAUGUCCAAACUUGAUUAUUUAGAGGAAGUAAAAGUCGUAACAAGG
This 1589-nucleotide ribosomal RNA is filed under the name Dioptromysis spinosa. RNAcentral describes it as "SSU rRNA". It matches the Rfam family "Eukaryotic small subunit ribosomal RNA". The record is from RNAcentral. Lineage: Eukaryota; Metazoa; Arthropoda; Malacostraca; Mysida; Mysidae.